RNAcentral lists this ribosomal RNA (652 nucleotides) under Escherichia coli. Its description in RNAcentral is "partial 23S ribosomal RNA". It matches the Rfam family "Bacterial large subunit ribosomal RNA", at positions 609 to 1260 of the family's 2925-position model. The record is from RNAcentral. Lineage: Bacteria; Pseudomonadati; Pseudomonadota; Gammaproteobacteria; Enterobacterales; Enterobacteriaceae.
UGUAUAAUGGGUCAGCGACUUAUAUUCUGUAGCAAGGUUAACCGAAUAGGGGAGCCGAAGGGAAACCGAGUCUUAACUGGGCGUUAAGUUGCAGGGUAUAGACCCGAAACCCGGUGAUCUAGCCAUGGGCAGGUUGAAGGUUGGGUAACACUAACUGGAGGACCGAACCGACUAAUGUUGAAAAAUUAGCGGAUGACUUGUGGCUGGGGGUGAAAGGCCAAUCAAACCGGGAGAUAGCUGGUUCUCCCCGAAAGCUAUUUAGGUAGCGCCUCGUGAAUUCAUCUCCGGGGGUAGAGCACUGUUUCGGCAAGGGGGUCAUCCCGACUUACCAACCCGAUGCAAACUGCGAAUACCGGAGAAUGUUAUCACGGGAGACACACGGCGGGUGCUAACGUCCGUCGUGAAGAGGGAAACAACCCAGACCGCCAGCUAAGGUCCCAAAGUCAUGGUUAAGUGGGAAACGAUGUGGGAAGGCCCAGACAGCCAGGAUGUUGGCUUAGAAGCAGCCAUCAUUUAAAGAAAGCGUAAUAGCUCACUGGUCGAGUCGGCCUGCGCGGAAGAUGUAACGGGGCUAAACCAUGCACCGAAGCUGCGGCAGCGACGCUUAUGCGUUGUUGGGUAGGGGAGCGUUCUGUAAGCCUGCGAAGGUGUG